CGGAUGAAGGGAGCUUGCUCCUGGAUUCAGCGGCGGACGGGUGAGUAAUGCCUGGGAAUCUGCCUGGUAGUGGGGGAUAACGUCCGGAAACGGGCGCUAAUACCGCAUACGUCCUGAGGGAGAAAGUGGGGGAUCUUCGGACCUCACGCUAUCAGAUGAGCCUAGGUCGGAUUAGCUAGUUGGUGGGGUAAAGGCCUACCAAGGCGACGAUCCGUAACUGGUCUGAGAGGAUGAUCAGUCACACUGGAACUGAGACACGGUCCAGACUCCUACGGGAGGCAGCAGUGGGGAAUAUUGGACAAUGGGCGAAAGCCUGAUCCAGCCAUGCCGCGUGUGUGAAGAAGGUCUUCGGAUUGUAAAGCACUUUAAGUUGGGAGGAAGGGCAGUAAGUUAAUACCUUGCUGUUUUGACGUUACCAACAGAAUAAGCACCGGCUAACUUCGUGCCAGCAGCCGCGGUAAUACGAAGGGUGCAAGCGUUAAUCGGAAUUACUGGGCGUAAAGCGCGCGUAGGUGGUUCAGCAAGUUGGAUGUGAAAUCCCCGGGCUCAACCUGGGAACUGCAUCCAAAACUACUGAGCUAGAGUACGGUAGAGGGUGGUGGAAUUUCCUGUGUAGCGGUGAAAUGCGUAGAUAUAGGAAGGAACACCAGUGGCGAAGGCGACCACCUGGACUGAUACUGACACUGAGUGCGAAAGCGUGGGGAGCAAACAGGAUUAGAUACCCUGGUAGUCCACGCCGUAACGAUGUCGACUAGCCCGUUUGGGAUCCAUGAGAUCUAGUGGGCCGCAGCUAACGCGAUUAGUUCGAACCGGCCUGGGGGAGUUACGAUCGCAAGGUCAAACU
This 844-nucleotide ribosomal RNA is filed under the name Pseudomonas aeruginosa. RNAcentral describes it as "bacterial SSU rRNA". It matches the Rfam family "Bacterial small subunit ribosomal RNA", at positions 67 to 901 of the family's 1533-position model. The record is from RNAcentral. Lineage: Bacteria; Pseudomonadati; Pseudomonadota; Gammaproteobacteria; Pseudomonadales; Pseudomonadaceae.